Molecule: unclassified non-coding RNA, 878 nt
Filed under: Hevea brasiliensis (rubber tree)
Lineage: Eukaryota; Viridiplantae; Streptophyta; Magnoliopsida; Malpighiales; Euphorbiaceae
Source: RNAcentral
AAAAAAAUGAAUCCAAUAAUAGUGAAGAUGGUAGGUGGACUCUUCAAGGGAAAACUGCCCUUGUUACUGGAGGCACUAAAGGCAUAGGGCAUGCCAUAGUAGAAGAAUUAGCUGGAUUUGGUGCUACAGUUUAUACAUGUUGUAGAAACCAAGAACAACUUGAUGAGUGUUUAGAGAAAUGGAGAGGCAAAGGUUACAAAGUAGAAGGAUGUGUAUGUGAUUUGACUUUGAGAUCCCAAAGAGAGAUGCUUAUGGAGAAGGUUAUCAAUUUUUUCCAAGGAAAACUCAACAUUCUAAUAAAUAAUGCAGGUAUACUAAUAGUUAAGCCAGCUACAGAGUUCACUGAGGAUGAUUACUCUAUUCUUAUGAAAACCAAUUUUGAAGCUUCUCACCACAUCUCCCAAAUUGCACACCCAAUUUUGAAGGCCUCAGAAAGUGGAAACAUUGUCUUCAUCUCUUCUAUUGCUGGGCUUGUGGCAUUGCCAACAAAUUCCAUCUAUGCAGCAACUAAAGGUGCAAUGAAUCAACUUACAAGGAGUUUGGCUUACGAAUGGGCUAAAGAUAAUAUUCGAGUGAACGCAGUAGCACCUUGGAUUAUAGACACACCCCUCAUCGAAGCAGCAAAGAAAGAUUCAUUAACUAAAGAACUUAUUGAAAGAAGUAUUAGCAGAACACCAAUUUGUAGAGCUGGUGAACCAAAAGAAGUUUCAGCAAUGGUGGCAUUUCUUUGUUUCCCAGCUGCUUCAUAUAUUACUGGUCAAGUUAUAUGUGUUGAUGGUGGACACACAAUUAAUGGUUCUUAUUAAUUAUUUUAUUUUAUGUCUUGAAUAAUAAUAAUAAUAAUGUACUUGAUUAAUAUGAAACCAUGAAAAUUUUAU